Molecule: ribosomal RNA, 208 nt
Filed under: uncultured bacterium
Lineage: Bacteria
Description: partial 16S ribosomal RNA
Rfam family: Bacterial small subunit ribosomal RNA
Source: RNAcentral
CUCGUAGGCGGUUUGUCGCGUCGGGAGUGAAAACCUCGGGCUUAACUCGGGGCUUGCUUUCGAUACGGGCAGACUGGAGGUAUGCAGGGGAGAACGGAAUUCCUGGUGUAGCGGUGAAAUGCGCAGAUAUCAGGAGGAACACCGGUGGCGAAGGCGGUUCUCUGGGCAUUACCUGACGCUGAGGAGCGAAAGUGUGGGGAGCGAACAG